GACGUAGGGUGCAAGCGUUGUCCGGAUUUAUUGGGCGUAAAGAGCUCGUAGGCGGCUCAGUAAGUCAGGUGUGAAAACUCCAGGCUCAACCUGGAGACGCCACCUGAUACUGCUGUGGCUAGAGUCCGGUAGGGGAGCAUGGAAUUCCUGGUGUAGCGGUGAAAUGCGCAGAUAUCAGGAGGAACACCAGUGGCGAAGGCGGUGCUCUGGGCCGGAACUGACGCUGAGGAGCGAAAGCGUGGGGAGCAAACAGG
RNAcentral lists this ribosomal RNA (254 nucleotides) under uncultured bacterium. Its description in RNAcentral is "partial 16S ribosomal RNA". It matches the Rfam family "Bacterial small subunit ribosomal RNA", at positions 524 to 776 of the family's 1533-position model. The record is from RNAcentral.